UUUUUUUUUUUGUUAGAACAACUCAGCAAAAUAAAAUUCCUGUUUAUUGUUGGACAACAUUGUUUCACACAUACAUCAAACAGGCCAAAAAAAAUAAACAGCAACUUCAUAGACAAAAAAGGAAAAAAAAGAAACCUUUUAUCUUUGGCCUUUUUAACCAUCUCAUACAAACCAACUACUUAUAGUACAGCUAAGUACAUACACAAAAAAGUUACUGGAAUGCUCGGAAUAAGAUUGUUUUUCUGUUGUCAUUUUUGCUUUUUUUACAAGGUUUUUUUUCUCCUUUGAGAUUAUAAUGAACAUGGUCACACCACAAGUAAAGUCAGAAGUAGGACAGAGAACGCUCCGAAGGCUGGUUUGGUCAUCGGAGAUCAUUAAAAAUGGCUGACUCUAACAAUAUGUACAAAAAUAUAAAAUGUAAAUAAAAAAUACAAACAAAUUUCCUUUUUAAAGUACUUUUAAGAAAAAAAGCAGGGCCUUGGAAGUUUUGGUUCUUUUUUCCUCCCCUGUUGCAAAUUCUCAUGGUUUGGGUUGGGUGGUGGAGAGCGCGUGUCAUCUGCGGGUGGCACUGUCCACGGUGGGCGGGCGGGCCUCUCUACUCGAAGGUGACCACGUUUAGAUUCUGAGACGGGAAGUGGAGGGUGAAUAGGUCAAGGCGGCCUUUUUUUUUAGUUUAACUUUUCCUUUUUUGCUGUCUAGUCAUCCUCGUCGGUCUUCUGCUUCUUGGUAUCGACAUCGUCAUCCUCAUCAUCUUCAGCUGCCCGCUUGCCCGUAGCUGUCUCAGCUUCCUCAUCUUCCUCCCCACCUUCUUCCUCUUC
Molecule: long non-coding RNA, 818 nt
Filed under: Homo sapiens (human)
Lineage: Eukaryota; Metazoa; Chordata; Mammalia; Primates; Hominidae
Description: HSALNT0093374
Source: RNAcentral